AUAUAUAUAUGAGGAGUUAUCAUCAAUUUCUUCUUUGACUUGUGCAACUCCAUGUGAGCACAAUUUGUAAAUUCAUUAGUUAUUUGCCCUCAGUUUAUUCUAAGGAGAGACCGAGAGCUCUUUGUCUAUCAUUUAUGUGAUCCAUCAGAUCCACAUUGCACCGUAGGAAAGCUCUAGCGGAGAGCUAUAGGAGAAAAUUUUGAAAGAUAAAUUAAGAAAAAGAACACAUUGAAUCAUUUUCCAUCCUGUGAUGACCAUUUGUGGUCCUUGUUGUGAAUCAAAAGAAGCCUAUUUGUUACAUAGAGAACGACUGAAUCCAAGUGAAAGUACGCCCUUUCAUUCCUCAUUCAUUGCCCUUGUCUAGUCUUAAUUCCUAUUGAUUUUGACAAAAUUUCAGCGAAUUAAGUUGGAAAUGGACUAAAAGGUUAUCUUGCAUCGUUUUCAAUCAAUGAUAUUCUGCCCCUGCAUCAUCUUGCGCGUUCAUAGAUUUACCACAGCCAUCCUAUUGUUUUGCUGAUCUCACCAAAAUCUGAUUGUCUGUGUACAUAAUGACAACCAUAAUGUUUUUUCCCCAUACAUAUAUAAUUCA
This 589-nucleotide long non-coding RNA is filed under the name Phoenix dactylifera (date palm). RNAcentral describes it as "long non-coding RNA (PDAC_LNC020831)". Lineage: Eukaryota; Viridiplantae; Streptophyta; Magnoliopsida; Arecales; Arecaceae. The record is from RNAcentral.